CGGUCCUAAGGUAGCGAAAUUCCUUGUCGGGUAAGUUCCGACCUGCACGAAUGGCGUAACGAUUUGGGCGCUGUCUCGACCAUGGACCCGGUGAAAUUGCACUGGUCGUGAAGAUGCGACUUACCCGCGGAAGGACGGAAAGACCCCGUGAACCUUCACUGCAGCUUGGCAUUGGCCGCUGGUCCCGCGUGUAGAGGAUAGGCAGGAGGCACAGAUCCGGAGGCGCCAGCCCCCGGGGAGCCGCCCUUGGAAUACUGCCCUCGCGCGACCGGCGUCCUAACCCGAGGCCGUCAACCGGCUCGGGGACCGUGCCAGGCGGGCAGUUUGACUGGGGCGGUCGCCUCCUAAAGGGUAACGGAGGCGCGCGAAGGUCCGCUCGGGACGGUCGGCAACCGUCCUUUUGAAUGCAAGAGUACAAGCGGGCUUGACUGCGAGGCCCACAAGCCGAGCAGGUGCGAAAGCAGGCUCUAGUGAUCCGGCGGCCCCGAGUGGGUGGGCCGUCGCUCAACGGAUAAAAGGUACUCCGGGGAUAACAGGCUGAUCUUGCCCAAGAGUCCACAUCGACGGCAAGGUUUGGCACCUCGAUGUCGGCUCAUCGCAUCCUGGGGCUGUAGCAGGUCCCAAGGGUUGGGCUGUUCGCCCAUUAAAGCGGUACGCGAGCUGGGUUCAGAACGUCGUGAGACAGUUCGGUCCCUAUCCUCCGUGGGCGCAGGAGAAUCGAUGGAGGCUGCCCCCAGUACGAGAGGACCGGGGUGGACGCACCUCCGGUGAACCGGUUGUCGACCAACGGCACGGCCGGGUAGCCGCGUGCGGCGCGGAUAACCGCUGAAGGCAUCUAAGCGGGAAGCCGUUCCAGGGAUUAGUUCUCCUUCCGGUAAGGGCCCAGGUAGACUACCUGGUCGAUAGACGGCAGGUGCAAGGGCGGCGACGUCCUCAGCCGAGCCGCACUAAUCGCCCGAGCUCUUCCGGAA
RNAcentral lists this ribosomal RNA (971 nucleotides) under human gut metagenome. RNAcentral's name for it is "bacterial LSU rRNA". It matches the Rfam family "Bacterial large subunit ribosomal RNA", at positions 1946 to 2925 of the family's 2925-position model. The record is from RNAcentral.